This 700-nucleotide long non-coding RNA is filed under the name Setaria viridis. RNAcentral's name for it is "long non-coding RNA (SVIR_LNC004277)". Lineage: Eukaryota; Viridiplantae; Streptophyta; Magnoliopsida; Poales; Poaceae. The record is from RNAcentral.
UAUUUCCACGGCAUCUACUCCGGCCAACGAAGGUCCCAAGCAAUCGGAGCAUUAUGUCGCUGCUGGUCCUCAUCACCAAGGGCCAGUUGCAGUACCGCAGCAAGAAGCAGGUAAGGUCACUGAUACCGUGAGGACACCACCCUCGGCGCAGAUCGCUCGUCGUGGCCGUGAAGACGACUACUCCCCCAUUGCUUCUCCUAACAAUGUUCUCGGUGAUCAUAGCCAUGAUGAGGACCAUAAGUAUGAUGGCAAGGAUGAACGCAGGCCGCCAGCAGGCAAAUCACGGCGCUGAGAUGAGCAACGAAGUGUUUGCACUGUGUUUAUUUGGCCGUUGAUCAUCGGUGCAUCUGUUCUAUAUCUACAUGCAUGCUCCGAAAAAAUAUAUCGACAUUAUUGCUGUGGUUGUGCUCUAUACAUCCAGCUAUGCUACCUGUUAAUUAUGUUGUUGAGGUGUGAUUAACUAUGCAUUGUGUGAUUAUUUCAGAACAAUAGUGAAUCCGAAUGCAUAUAUGAUUUCGGUUGUAUGUAUUUAACAUCUUCUCAAAUUAGUUCGUCCACUUUGGUUGUUUCUUAUCUCGGUUUUCGUCCCCGUUUAGGUUGCUGACAAAUGUGACCAUGCAUUCACAAUUAAACUCCUCACAUGCAUGGAGGUCAUCUAUAAACAUAGUUAGUCCUUCCUGAUCUUUGUGCUAUGGUAUCC